GAUGAACGCUAGCGGGAGGCUUAACACAUGCAAGUCGAGGGGCAGCAUAGGGUAGCAAUACUCUGAUGGCGACCGGCAAACGGGUGAGUAACGCGUAUGCAACCUACCCUGUACAGGGGGAUAACCCGGAGAAAUUCGGACUAAUAUCCCGUAAUAAUAUCCGGAGGCAUCUUUGGAUAUUUAAAGUUCCGACGGUACGGGAUGGGCAUGCGUAACAUUUAACUGGUUGGUAAGGUAACGGCUUACCAAGGCUAUGAUGUUUAGGGGUCCUGAGAGGGUGGUCCCCCACACUGGUACUGAGACACGGACCAGACUCCUACGGGAGGCAGCAGUGAGGAAUAUUGGUCAAAUGGGCGCAAGCCUGAACCAGCCAUCCCGCGUGCAGGAAGACGGCCCUAUGGGUUGUAAACUGCUUUUCCAGGGAGAGAAACUUACGCACGUGUUGCGUGACUGACGGUACCCUGGGAAUAAGCAUCGGCUAACUCCGUA
This 489-nucleotide ribosomal RNA is filed under the name uncultured bacterium. Its description in RNAcentral is "bacterial SSU rRNA". It matches the Rfam family "Bacterial small subunit ribosomal RNA", at positions 28 to 507 of the family's 1533-position model. The record is from RNAcentral.